UUGGUUGGAGGCCUAGGAGUGAAAUUUCCCAUUGUCCCGCUACCCCCAGGAGGUGGUGGUGGGGCUAUAGGGUUGCCACCAGGAGGCAUAGGCCUAGGACCAUUUCCCAUAGGAGGCGGCGGCGGCGGUAAUGAACCAGGAGCUGGAGGUGGAGGGCCCCUAGGAGGGUUUGGCAGCCCUUGAGGUGGAGGAGGAGGUGGCGGUGCUGGAGCAUGAGGUGGUGGAGGCAAAGGCCUUGGAGGAGCACCUGGGGCUGCAGUACCAUUGACUGCAGGAGGAGGUGGAGGUUUGUUCACCUCUAGUGGCUUGGUUUUAAAAUAUACCUGCAA
Molecule: long non-coding RNA, 329 nt
Filed under: Gossypium raimondii (Peruvian cotton)
Lineage: Eukaryota; Viridiplantae; Streptophyta; Magnoliopsida; Malvales; Malvaceae
Description: long non-coding RNA (GRAI_LNC004920)
Source: RNAcentral